RNAcentral lists this ribosomal RNA (397 nucleotides) under uncultured bacterium. RNAcentral describes it as "partial 16S ribosomal RNA". It matches the Rfam family "Bacterial small subunit ribosomal RNA", at positions 523 to 918 of the family's 1533-position model. The record is from RNAcentral.
AUACGUAGGUGGCAAGCGUUAUCCGGAAUUAUUGGGCGUAAAGCGCGCGUAGGCGGUUUCUUAAGUCUGAUGUGAAAGCCCACGGCUCAACCGUGGAGGGUCAUUGGAAACUGGGAAACUUGAGUGCAGAAGAGGAAAGUGGAAUUCCAUGUGUAGCGGUGAAAUGCGCAGAGAUAUGGAGGAACACCAGUGGCGAAGGCGACUUUCUGGUCUGUAACUGACGCUGAUGUGCGAAAGCGUGGGGAUCAAACAGGAUUAGAUACCCUGGUAGUCCACGCCGUAAACGAUGAGUGCUAAGUGUUAGGGGGUUUCCGCCCCUUAGUGCUGCAGCUAACGCAUUAAGCACUCCGCCUGGGGAGUACGACCGCAAGGUUGAAACUCAAAUGAAUUGACGGGG